RNAcentral lists this ribosomal RNA (253 nucleotides) under uncultured bacterium. Its description in RNAcentral is "partial 16S ribosomal RNA". It matches the Rfam family "Bacterial small subunit ribosomal RNA", at positions 524 to 776 of the family's 1533-position model. The record is from RNAcentral.
UACGAAGGGAGCUAGCGUUGUUCGGAAUUACUGGGCGUAAAGGGCGCGUAGGCGGCAUGGUAAGUCAGAUGUGAAAGCCCUGGGCUUAACCUAGGAACUGCAUUUGAUACUGCUGUGCUAGAGAUCGAGAGAGGAAAGUGGAAUUACGAGUGUAGAGGUGAAAUUCGUAGAUAUUCGUAAGAACACCAGUGGCGAAGGCGGCUUUCUGGCUCGAUACUGACGCUAAGGCGCGAAAGCGUGGGGAGCAAACAGG